CCUAUGGGAGGCAGCAGUGAGGAAUAUUGGUCAAUGGACGCGAGUCUGAACCAGCCAAGUAGCGUGAAGGAUGACUGCUUUAUGGGUUGUAACUUCCUUUUAUAUGGGAAUAAAAUGUUCCAUGCGUGGUAUAUAGUAUGUGCCUUACGAAUAAGCAUCGGCUAACUCCGUGCCAGCAGCCGCGGUAAUAUGCAGGUUCCGAGCGUGAUCCGGAUUUACUGGUUUAAAGGGGAGCGUAGGGGGAUUAUCAGGUCAGUGGGAAAAUCGCGGGGUUAAACUCCAUAUUGCCUUUGAAACUGAUGAUCUUGAGUACGCGAGAGGUAAGCGGAAUGCGUGGUGUAGCGGUGAAAUGCGUAGAUAUAACGCAGAACACCAGUUGCGAAGGCGGCUUACCGG
This 396-nucleotide ribosomal RNA is filed under the name uncultured bacterium. Its description in RNAcentral is "partial 16S ribosomal RNA". It matches the Rfam family "Bacterial small subunit ribosomal RNA", at positions 338 to 732 of the family's 1533-position model. The record is from RNAcentral.